Molecule: ribosomal RNA, 464 nt
Filed under: uncultured bacterium
Lineage: Bacteria
Description: partial 16S ribosomal RNA
Rfam family: Bacterial small subunit ribosomal RNA
Source: RNAcentral
CUACGGGGCGCAGCAGUGGGGAAUAUUGCACAAUGGGCGCAAGCCUGAUGCAGCCAUGCCGCGUGUAUGAAGAAGGCCUUCGGGUUGUAAAGUACUUUCAGCGGGGAGGAAGGGAGUAAAGUUAAUACCUUUGCUCAUUGACGUUACCCGCAGAAGAAGCACCGGCUAACUCCGUGCCAGCAGCCGCGGUAAUACGGAGGGUGCAAGCGUUAAUCGGAAUUACUGGGCGUAAAGCGCACGCAGGCGGUUUGUUAAGUCAGAUGUGAAAUCCCCGGGCUCAACCUGGGAACUGCAUCUGAUACUGGCAAGCUUGAGUCUCGUAGAAGGGGGUAGAAUUCCAGGUGUAGCGGUGAAAUGCGUAGAGAUCUGGAGGAAUACCGGUGGCGAAGGCGGCCCCCUGGACGAAGACUGACGCUCAGGUGCGAAAGCGUGGGGAGCAAACAGGAUUAGAUACCCGCGUAGUC